RNAcentral lists this transfer RNA (63 nucleotides) under Nierstraszella lineata. RNAcentral's name for it is "tRNA-Trp". The record is from RNAcentral. Lineage: Eukaryota; Metazoa; Mollusca; Polyplacophora; Lepidopleurida; Nierstraszellidae.
AGAAUUUUAGGUUAAUAAAACUUUAAGUUUUCAAAGCUUAGCAUAAAAUAUUUUUAAGUUCUA